AUUAUACACGUGAAACUGCGAAUGGCUCAUGUAAAUCAGUUAUCGUUUAUUUGAUAAUACCUUACUACUUGGAUAACCGUGGUAAUUCUAGAGCUAAUACAUGCUGAAAAUCCCGACUUCGGAAGGGAUGUGUUUAUUAGAUAAAAAACCAAUGCCCUUCGGGGCUUUUUGGUGAUUCAUGAUAACUUUACGGAUCGCAUAGCCUUGCGCUGGCGACGGUUCAUUCAAAUUUCUGCCCUAUCAACUUUCGAUGGUAAGGUAUUGGCUUACCAUGGUUUCAACGGGUAACGGGGAAUUAGGGUUCGAUUCCGGAGAGGGAGCCUGAGAAACGGCUACCACAUCCAAGGAAGGCAGCAGGCGCGCAAAUUACCCAAUCCCGACACGGGGAGGUAGUGACAAUAAAUACUGAUACAGGGCUCUUUUGGGUCUUGUAAUUGGAAUGAGUACAAUUUAAACCUCUUAACGAGGAACAAUUGGAGGGCAAGUCUGGUGCCAGCAGCCGCGGUAAUUCCAGCUCCAAUAGCGUAUAUUAAAGUUGUUGCAGUUAAAAAGCUCGUAGUUGAAACUUGGGCCUGGCUGGCGGGUCCGCCUCACCGCGUGCACUCGUCCGGCCGGGCCUUCCUUCUGAAGAACCUCAUGCCCUUCACUGGGCGUGCUGGGGAAUCAGGACUUUUACUUUGAAAAAAUUAGAGUGUUCAAAGCAGGCCUUUGCUCGAAUACGUUAGCAUGGAAUAAUAAAAUAGGGCGUGCGUUUCUAUUUUGUUGGUUUCUAGAGACGCCGCAUGAUUAACAGGAACAGUCGGGGGCAUCAGUAUUCAAUUGUCAGAGUGAAAUUCUUGGAAUUACUGAAGACUACUACUGCCAAAGCAUUUGCCAAGGAUGUUU
RNAcentral lists this ribosomal RNA (885 nucleotides) under Alternaria burnsii. Its description in RNAcentral is "SSU rRNA". It matches the Rfam family "Eukaryotic small subunit ribosomal RNA", at positions 72 to 969 of the family's 1831-position model. Lineage: Eukaryota; Fungi; Ascomycota; Dothideomycetes; Pleosporales; Pleosporaceae. The record is from RNAcentral.